This 49-nucleotide transfer RNA is filed under the name Dactylorhiza iberica. Its description in RNAcentral is "partial tRNA-Phe". Lineage: Eukaryota; Viridiplantae; Streptophyta; Magnoliopsida; Asparagales; Orchidaceae. The record is from RNAcentral.
GUCGGGAUAGCUCAGUUGGUAGAGCAGAGGACUGAAAAUCSBCGUGUCA